RNAcentral lists this ribosomal RNA (246 nucleotides) under uncultured bacterium. RNAcentral's name for it is "partial 16S ribosomal RNA". It matches the Rfam family "Bacterial small subunit ribosomal RNA", at positions 88 to 334 of the family's 1533-position model. The record is from RNAcentral.
CGGUCGACCGGCGCACGGGUGAGUAACGCGUAUCCAACCUGCCCACCACUUGGGGAUAACCUUGCGAAAGUAAGACUAAUACCCAAUGAUAUCUCUAGAAGACAUCUGAAAGGGAUUAAAGAUUUAUCGGUGAUGGAUGGGGAUGCGUCUGAUUAGCUUGUUGGCGGGGUAACGGCCCACCAAGGCAACGAUCAGUAGGGGUUCUGAGAGGAAGGUCCCCCACAUUGGAACUGAGACACGGUCCAA